CAGUAAUAUAUGCAGCAGCUUCUGGAUGGCAUUCUUAGAAUCUCACGUGAUGGCAAAUUAUAUUUAGGGUUGCAGUGGCACAGAUCCCAGCAAACAAGUGUCACUUUAAUGGUCACAUCAGACUUAGGCUCCUACAGGGUGAGCAAAGAGCCCAGCCCAGCCCCCAUUCUAUGCAAAGAACAAGUGCUAUCAGCAACUACGUAUCAGCCCAGGGCAGGACAAUGGUCCGUCCCAUCUCCUCUGCUAUGGUUUUAUUAUCUUGCCCAGGACACACAGGCCAGCUCUCUUUGCAGAGUUCAGAUGUAUAUCCUGACCAGAGGGGGGAGGCACGUUUUUGGCUGAACUAUCUUUCUGUAAAGUGGGAUUGCCACCAUGUGAGUGGCCUGCAAAUGACUCUUUUUCUCAAAUGGACGAGGAGGAUACACAUAUAAAACUCUCCCCAUAUUAUCAACUCUAAAGCUUUGGAGUCAAAUCUUUGGUGUCUGACUCAGAAAGAUCUCCCACACAUCGUCACCAGCUUAAGAGCUGGCCUUCUCUCACUCGGCAGAAGGUUCCUGGCACCUGGAUCCAUGUUAACACACCAUCCAAAGGCCUAAUCUAGGUCUCAAGUCACCCGGGACACGUGCCAA
Molecule: non-coding RNA, 629 nt
Organism: Sus scrofa (pig)
Lineage: Eukaryota; Metazoa; Chordata; Mammalia; Artiodactyla; Suidae
Source: RefSeq, a predicted model, not a curated record